Molecule: long non-coding RNA, 397 nt
Filed under: Scleropages formosus (Asian bonytongue)
Lineage: Eukaryota; Metazoa; Chordata; Actinopteri; Osteoglossiformes; Osteoglossidae
Description: lncRNA (ENSSFOG00015033146.1)
Source: RNAcentral
GAGCAGCUCAGGCUCCUCCAGGGAGGGUGAAGCAGUACCUGUCAGGUCUGAUAUAAAUAGGAGGACCUUCACUGCUGCACUGAGAGUCAGUCAUCGUCAUGGACAACUUCACCAGGCUCACGGUCCUCCUUUUGUUCCUGUGGACUGUGGAAAGGCAGACUGUAACCACACAGGGACUGACUACGACUGCAAAGACAAUGUCUACAACCUCAAACGGACCUACGUCAGCCCCACAUAUCGAGACUGCAUUCGCCAACUUGCUUGUGCGCGUCAACACCUCGCCCUACGUGAGCGAACGGUUUGUGGAGGCAGCACUCGAGAACGCCACAACCCAACUCCAGAUGUAUCUUCAUAGUAAUUACAGUACCCUCCGUUCAAUAAGAAUCAUCAAGAUCAA